RNAcentral lists this ribosomal RNA (405 nucleotides) under uncultured bacterium. RNAcentral's name for it is "partial 16S ribosomal RNA". It matches the Rfam family "Bacterial small subunit ribosomal RNA", at positions 30 to 526 of the family's 1533-position model. The record is from RNAcentral.
AUUGAACGCUGGCGGCAGGCCUAACACAUGCAAGUCGAACGAGUGGCGGACGGGUGAGUAAUGUCUGGGAAACUGCCCGAUGGAGGGGGAUAACUACUGGAAACGGUAGCUAAUACCGCAUACCAUCGGAUGUGCCCAGAUGGGAGUAGCUUGUAGGUGAGGUAACGGCUCACCUAGGCGACGCUCCCUAGCUGGUCUGAGAGGAUGACCAGCUACACGGGAACGUAGACACGGUCCAGGCCCCGACGGGAUGCAGCAGUGGGGAAUAUUGCACAGUGGGCGCAAGCCUGAUGCAGCCAUGCCGGGUGUAUGAAGAAGGCCUUCGGGUUGUAAAGUACUUUCAGCGGGGGGCUUUACCCGCAGAAGAAGCACCGGCUAACUCCGUGCCAGCAGCCGCGGUAAUAC